CUACGGGACGCAGCAGUGGGGGAUACUGCACAAUGGGGGAAACCCUGAUGCAGCAACGCCGCGUGAAGGAAGACGGUUUUCGGAUUGUAAACUUCUAUCAGCUGGGAAGAAAAUGACUGUACCAGACUAAGAAGCCCCGGCUAACUACGUGCCAGCAGCCGCGGUAAUACGUAGGGGGCAAGCGUUAUCCGGAUUUACUGGGUGUAAAGGGUUCGUAGGCGGUUAUUUAAGUCAGAUGUGAAAGCCCGAGGCUCAACCUCGGGACUGCAUUUGAAACUGGGUAACUAGAGUACAGGAGAGGAAAGCGGAAUUCCUAGUGUAGCGGUGAAAUGCGUAGAUAUUAGGAAGAACACCAGUGGCGAAGGCGGCUUUCUGGACUGUAACUGACGCUGAGGAACGAAAGCGUGGGGAGCGAACAGGAUUAGAUACCCUAGUAGUC
This 439-nucleotide ribosomal RNA is filed under the name uncultured bacterium. Its description in RNAcentral is "partial 16S ribosomal RNA". It matches the Rfam family "Bacterial small subunit ribosomal RNA", at positions 339 to 795 of the family's 1533-position model. The record is from RNAcentral.